UACGGAGGGUGCAAGCGUUAAUCGGAUUUAUUGGGCGUAAAGAGCACGUAGGCUGAGUGGAAAGUUAGAUGUGAAAACCCGGGGCUCAACUCCGGAUCCGCAUCUAAAACUCCCAUUCUAGAGGAUGGACGGAGAAAAGGGAAUUCCACGUGUAGCGGUAAAAUGCGUAGAUAUGUGGAAGAACACCAGUGGCGAAGGCGCUUUUCUAGUUUAUACCUGACGCUGAGGAGCGAAAGCAAGGGGAGCAAAC
Molecule: ribosomal RNA, 250 nt
Filed under: uncultured bacterium
Lineage: Bacteria
Description: partial 16S ribosomal RNA
Rfam family: Bacterial small subunit ribosomal RNA
Source: RNAcentral